GUUUCGGUGCGGGCUGGGAGACCGGUACCAAAUCGAGUCAAACUCUGAAUACCAGAUGUAUAGAUUGCCAGUGAGACGGUGGGGGAUAAGCUUCAUCGUCAAGAGGGAAACAGCCCAGACCAUCAGCUAAGGUCCCCAAAUAACACCUCAGUGAUAAAGGAGGUGGGAAUGCAGAGACAACCAGGAGGUUUGCCUAGAAGCAGCCAUCCUUAAAAGAGUGCGUAAUAGCUCACUGGUCAAGCGUUCCUGCGCCGAAAAUGAACGGGGCUAAGGUGUUUACCGAAGCUAUGGACUUAUAUUUCGAUAUGAGUGGUAGGGGAGCGUUCCAUUGUAGUGAGAAGCAUCAGCGGCAAGCAGGUGUGGACGAAGUGGAAGUGAGAAUGUCGGCUUGAGUAGCGCAAACAUUGGUGAGAAUCCAAUGCCCUGAAAUCCUAAGGGUUCCUCCGGAAGGCUCGUCCGCGGAGGGUGAGUCGGGGCCUAAGGCGAGGUCGAAAGACGUAGUCGAUGGACAACUGGUCAAAAUUCCAGUACUCGAUGUAAAUUGUGACGGGGGACGGAGAAGGCUAACACAGCCCCAUGUUGGUUAGGGGUUCAAGCUAACGAGGCGAUGAGAGGUGGCGGAAACACCUUGAGCUGAGUGGUGAGUACGAGAGUCUACGGACUUGAAGUGUGUGAGGUCAGGCUUCCUAGAAAAUCCCGGAUCACGUUAAUUUGCAUCACCCGUACCCGAAACCGACACAGGUAGGAUGGUUGAGAAAACUAAAGGGCGCGAGAUAACUCUCUCUAAGGAACUCGGCAAAAUGACCCCGUAACU
RNAcentral lists this ribosomal RNA (814 nucleotides) under Phormidium sp. UTEX B EE19. RNAcentral's name for it is "bacterial LSU rRNA". It matches the Rfam family "Bacterial large subunit ribosomal RNA", at positions 912 to 1735 of the family's 2925-position model. Lineage: Bacteria; Bacillati; Cyanobacteriota; Cyanophyceae; Oscillatoriales; Oscillatoriaceae. The record is from RNAcentral.